GUCGAUGAUUGCUAAGCGUCGCCGAGUUGGGAGUGUCUUCAGCCCUAAGGCAGCAUCAGAGAUCAUAAUCUUCUGCUCUCGUGGCAAGAAAUUUGUGCGGAUAGAGUUGAUACACCUCACUUGAAGUUGGCCUGGAGAAAAGAGGCGUCGGACUCCUGGACGGGGUUGGGAAACGGUCACCAGUUUCGGCUCAAAGCAGCCUGUUUCCAGGAGACCGCCAUGGUCGAGGCAGCGUCCUGGUCCCACGGUGCGGGGCCGGACGAUCAUUUAUGGGAUAUAAAUAAAAGGACUAUGAGGUGGUAAAUAAAAGACUACCAACUAGAAGCCAUAGGGAGUCAUUUGAAGGAGAAAUAGGCACGGCUCAUCUGUGGUUGAGGGAAAGGGAUCUUGAAAGAUGAUUAGGAGAACUUGGGUUCUGGGGAAAGUGCGGGAAGACAUUCUGGCAGAGAAGCAAACGUGAGGAAAGAGUUUUGCUCUUGUUGCCCAGGCUGGAGUACAAUGGCGCAACCUCGGCUCACCACAACCUCCGCUUCCCAGGUUCAAGCGAUUCUCCUGCCUCAGCCUCCUGAGUCGCUGGGAUUACAGGAAUGUGCCACCAUGCCCGGCUAGUUUUGUAUUUUUAUUAGAGACUGGGUUUCUCCAUGUUGGUCAGGCUGGUCUCGAACUCCUGAUCUCAGGUGAUCCACCUGCCUCGGCCACCCAAAGUGCUGGGAUUACAGGCAUGAGCUACCAUGCCCAGAGAAUUCCAGGUAAUUCUCAUGGUGAAUGAAUUCCAUUCAUACUGUUGUUCUUCAGUCUGCCAAAUGGAUAUUACAUAACACAUUUGUGUGCCAUGAUGGGCCUUACAUAUAUUGACUCAUGUAAUUCUCACAACUUUAUGAGGUGGUAUUAGUCGCAUUUUCAUUUCAUGAAAUUGAGGCACAAAAAAAUUAGACAUGUUGAAGAUCAUACAUCAUCCCUCACCUGGGCUACAAUAGCCUCUUAACUAAUCUCUGCUUCUCCUCUUGUCCACACAACAGCCAGAGAACCUUUAAAUAUGUUAAGUAUGUCAAGCCUCUGCUCAAACUGAGUUUUUCCUGUCACACUUCAGUGUGGCCUAUAGGCCCUAAGUGAUGUAGCCUUUGCUUAUAUUGUCUUCCACUCUCAUCCUUGUUCACAGAGCUCUAGCAAUUCUCAUGUUUGGAGGUCCUCAAGGCAAAACUCAGCUUUAUUUCCCAUUCCCUUAGUAUGGAAAGCUAUUUCCCUAUCUGUGUGUCUUGCUUUUACAUCAUUGCUCUGCUCUCCUCAAAAACCUUCCCCUCUUAUCCCCAUCACCGUCCUCAUUUUGAUUCUUCAUAUACAUUUAUCCUUUCCUGAUUUUAUACUGUUUACCUUUUUAUGGUUUGUUUUCCCCUCUAAAACAUAAGUUCCAUCUGGACAAGGGCUUUGCUCAGUCCUAUUUUCCUAGGCCCUAGAAUCAAACCAGUAUUGGGUGAAUGGAUACUGAAUGAAGCUUUACCUAAGUGCUUUGUCUUUUACUUAGUUUCAGUGGUUAAAUCUCAGAAAGCUUAACAGCAAUUCUAAGCAUGUCUUUAUCAUAAAAGGUUAAAAACUGUAUUAUUGGGAUAUUUUUUCUCUUUUUAUGUUUACCUACAAGCCCGUAGAAAGUAUAAAUACUCAAAAGAUAGCAGACCAGGUAGGCUUAAGUUACUUUUACAAAACAGUAGAAAUACCUUCAAAUAUUUAGCACUGAUGAACUUACUACUGAGGACAUGUGGACUCUACUAAGAAACUAAUGAUGAAAUUCAUAAUUGGGUGUGGUAGCACAUGCACCCAGCUACUCGAGAGGCUGCAGCUUGAGUCCAGGAGUUCAAGGCUGCAGGGAGCCAUAAUCAUGCCAC
This 1880-nucleotide long non-coding RNA is filed under the name Homo sapiens (human). Its description in RNAcentral is "PREDICTED lncRNA (TCONS_00206064)". The record is from RNAcentral. Lineage: Eukaryota; Metazoa; Chordata; Mammalia; Primates; Hominidae.